CCUUAAAUAAGCCACAGGUAAGACGUUGGGUGCGGGGCACAGUGGAGGGAGAAUUAGAAGAGGCCGAGGAAGAAGACAUGAAGGUGUGUGCGUGUGUGUCGUCCAGACAAAUGACGAGGAGCCAGAUGUCCAGAAUGCCGACGACGCCCCGCAACCUGGACAAGAUGGCUGACAACCCACAGGCAGAAGCUGGCAAGCUCUCAGGUGAAGGGUGCUCGGGCCUCCGGGGCGGAUGGAUAGCGGCGUGAAGAGCGAUCGGCCGUCACAGAGGCGGCGACAGAUAGCGAGCCAAGGCGCGCCAACGCGGGGAGAUCGGUCUCGAUCGGACUCCAUUUGUCACGACCGAAAUGGAAUGUGAAUAACCUGGAGAAAACCCCAUAGAAGCGUUGGGAAAAACACUCGAGUUCCACACAAGAAAAGCCAGGACCGAGUUACAAACCCGGAACUUCAAAACUACGAGGCAGACGUGCUAACCGCGAGAUCACUGUGCUCCCCACCACUCAGGU
Hippocampus comes (tiger tail seahorse) is the source of this 506-nucleotide long non-coding RNA. RefSeq lists it as uncharacterized. The transcript has 4 exons. The record is from RefSeq and is a predicted model, not a curated record. Lineage: Eukaryota; Metazoa; Chordata; Actinopteri; Syngnathiformes; Syngnathidae.